CCUACGGGGGGCAGCAGUGAGGAAUAUUGGUCAAUGGGCACGAGCCUGAACCAGCGAAGUAGCGUGAAGGAUGACUGCCCUACGGGUUGUAAACUUCUUUUAUAAAGGAAUAAAGUGAGGCUCGUGUGCCUUUUUGUAUGUACUUUAUGAAUAAGGAUCGGCUAACUCCGUGCCAGCAGCCGCGGUAAUACGGAGGAUCCGAGCGUUAUCCGGAUUUAUUGGGUUGAAAGGGAGCGUAGAUGGGUUGUUAAGUCAGUUGUGAAAGUCUGCGGCUCAACCGUAAAAUUGCAAUGGAUACUGGCAGCCUUGAGUACAGUUGAGGUAGGCGGAAUUCGUGGUGUAGCGGUGAAAUGCUUAGAUAUAACGAAGAACUCCGAUUGCGAAGGCAGCCUACUAAGCUGCCACUGACAUUGAUGCUCGAAAGUGUGGGUAUCAAACAGGAUUAGAUACCCGAGUAGUC
RNAcentral lists this ribosomal RNA (460 nucleotides) under uncultured bacterium. Its description in RNAcentral is "partial 16S ribosomal RNA". It matches the Rfam family "Bacterial small subunit ribosomal RNA", at positions 338 to 795 of the family's 1533-position model. The record is from RNAcentral.